This 423-nucleotide ribosomal RNA is filed under the name uncultured bacterium. RNAcentral describes it as "partial 16S ribosomal RNA". It matches the Rfam family "Bacterial small subunit ribosomal RNA", at positions 360 to 775 of the family's 1533-position model. The record is from RNAcentral.
AAUUUUGGACAAUGGGUGAAACCCUGAUCCAGCCAUCCCGCGUGUAUGAUGAAGGCCUUCGGGUUGUAAAGUACUUUUGGCAGAGAAGAAAAGGUACCUCCUAAUACGAGGUACUGCUGCCGGUAUCUGAGGAAUAAGCACCGGCUACCUCCGUGCCAUCAGCCGCGGUAAUACGUAGGGUGCAAGCGUUAAUCGGAAUUACUGGUCGUAAAGCGUGUGUAGGCGGUUCGGAAAGAAAGAUGUGAAAUCCCAGGGCUCAACCUUGGAACUGCAUUUUUAACUGCCGAGCUAGAGUAUGUCAGAGGGGGGUAGAAUUCCACGUGUAGCAGUGAAAUGCGUAGAUAUGUGGAGGAAUACCGAUGGCGAAGGCAGCCCCCUGGGAUAAUACUGACGCUCAGACACGAAAGCGUGGGGAGCAAACAG